Molecule: ribosomal RNA, 253 nt
Filed under: uncultured bacterium
Lineage: Bacteria
Description: partial 16S ribosomal RNA
Rfam family: Bacterial small subunit ribosomal RNA
Source: RNAcentral
UACAGAGGGGGCAAGCGUUGUUCGGAAUUACUGGGCGUAAAGGGCGCGUAGGCGGCCCGCUAAGUCGAACGUGAAAUCCCCGAGCUCAACUCGGGAACUGCGUCCGAUACUGGCGGGCUUGAAUCCGGGAGAGGGAUGCGGAAUUCCAGGUGUAGCGGUGAAAUGCGCAGAUAUCGGGAGGAACACCAAUGGCGAAGGCAGCUCGCUGGGACGUUACUGACGCUGAGACGCGAAAGCGUGGGGAGCAAACAGG